GAUGAACGCUGGCGGCGUGCCUAAUACAUGCAAGUCGAGCGAACAGACGAGGAGCUUGCUCCUCUGACGUUAGCGGCGGACGGGUGAGUAACACGUGGAUAACCUACCUAUAAGACUGGGAUAACUUCGGGAAACCGGAGCUAAUACCGGAUAACAUGUUGAACCGCAUGGUUUAACAGUGAAAGACGGUCUUGCUGUCACUUAUAGAUGGAUCCGCGCCGCAUUAGCUAGUUGGUAAGGUAACGGCUUACCAAGGCAACGAUGCGUAGCCGACCUGAGAGGGUGAUCGGCCACACUGGAACUGAGACACGGUCCAGACUCCUACGGGAGGCAGCAGUAGGGAAUCUUCCGCAAUGGGCGAAAGCCUGACGGAGCAACGCCGCGUGAGUGAAGAAGGUCUUCGGAUCGUAAAACUCUGUUAUUAGGGGAGAACAAAUGUGUAAGUAACUAUGCACGUCUUGACGGUACCUAAUCAGAAAGCCACGGCUAACUACGUG
RNAcentral lists this ribosomal RNA (497 nucleotides) under uncultured bacterium. RNAcentral's name for it is "partial 16S ribosomal RNA". It matches the Rfam family "Bacterial small subunit ribosomal RNA", at positions 28 to 507 of the family's 1533-position model. The record is from RNAcentral.